RNAcentral lists this ribosomal RNA (459 nucleotides) under uncultured Bacteroidota bacterium. Its description in RNAcentral is "bacterial SSU rRNA". It matches the Rfam family "Bacterial small subunit ribosomal RNA", at positions 28 to 483 of the family's 1533-position model. Lineage: Bacteria; Pseudomonadati; Bacteroidota. The record is from RNAcentral.
GAUGAACGCUAGCGGCAGGCCUAAUACAUGCAAGUCGAGGGAGAUUAUCGGAUUCGUCUGAUAUGAAACCGGCGCACGGGUGCGUAACACGGUAUGCAACCUACCUUUAACUGGGGUAUAGCUCAGAGAAAUCUGAAUUAAUCCCCCAUAACACUACGACAUGGCAUCAUGAUGUAGUUAAAGCUCCGGCGGUUAAGGAUGGGCAUGCGGUACAUUAGCUAGUUGGUGAGGUAACGGCUCACCAAGGCUACGAUGUAUAGGGGGUCUGAGAGGAUGAUCCCCCACACUGGUACUGAGACACGGACCAGACUCCUACGGGAGGCAGCAGUAGGGAAUAUUGGUCAAUGGACGCAAGUCUGAACCAGCCAUGCCGCGUGAAGGAUGAAGGCCCUCUGGGUCGUAAACUUCUUUUAUUAGGGAAGAAACCUCAGGAUGCGUCCUGAGCUGACGGUACUUAAU